Long non-coding RNA from Rhincodon typus (whale shark), 362 nucleotides. RefSeq lists it as uncharacterized. Lineage: Eukaryota; Metazoa; Chordata; Chondrichthyes; Orectolobiformes; Rhincodontidae. The transcript has 3 exons. The record is from RefSeq and is a predicted model, not a curated record.
CUUCAGGCGACAUCUACGGAGUGCAUUUGCAGGAGAAUCCAGCAAGUUUUCGAGAAGCAGUACAAGUCCUUCUGUUAGCCGUUCUUUGCUUGGAAAUUUUGAGGAAUCCUUGUUAAAAGGUAGAUUUGCACCAUCAGGAAGAAUCGAUGGUUUUACAGCUGAACUUGGAGCAAGUGGAUCAUACUGCCCGCAGCAUGUAACGCUACCUGUGGAUGUAUCUUACUAUAAUAUUUCUGAACACAGUGCCCCAUCACCGUUCCUGGGUGUCAUAAAUCUGGAAUCUUUGGGAAGGAAGGGUUACAAUGUCCCCAAAACAGGAACCAUUCAAGUGGUGAGUUUAGUGAUCUUACCUUUAACCCCUG